AUGAAGCACAGCCCGAGGUCCCCUCGUACCACGGCGCCCUCCCAUCCGGUUAGAUCCGGUGCUCGCAGUCACCACAGCUCACCCGCGACCCUUCCCCCAUGGCUACUAGGGUUUCAGGCAUUGGCUCUGGUGGCCGUCGUUCUCCUCUUGUCCGGUCAGUGCAUGCCCUCCCCUGGCUUCAUCCUCUCUCUCUCUCUCCUCCUUUCUCUAACAUGCUCUUCUCUUCUUCUGUACACGUGCAGGGAGGAACCGCCAGUGGCCAGUACACGAAGCAGCCAUGGAGCUUCCUCCUCCUCUAGCUUCGAGGCAACAACAUUGUAG
This 321-nucleotide ribosomal RNA is filed under the name Triticum aestivum (bread wheat). Its description in RNAcentral is "partial small subunit ribosomal RNA". The record is from RNAcentral. Lineage: Eukaryota; Viridiplantae; Streptophyta; Magnoliopsida; Poales; Poaceae.